GACGAACGCUGGCGGCGUGCUUAACACAUGCAAGUCGAACGGAAAGGCCCUGCUUUUGUGGGGUGCUCGAGUGGCGAACGGGUGAGUAACACGUGAGUAACCUGCCCCUGACUUUGGGAUAACUUCAGGAAACUGGGGCUCAUAUCGGAUAGGAGCUCUUGCUGCAUGGUGGGGGUUGGUAAGUUUCGGCGGUUGGGGAUGGACUCGCGGCUUAUCAGCUUGUUGGUGGGGUAGUGGCUUACCAAGGCUUUGACGGGUAGCCGACCUGAGAGGGUGACCGGCCACAUUAGGACUGAGAUACGGCGCAGACUCCAACGGGACGCAGCGGUGGAGAGUAUUGCAGAAUAGGCGGAAGCCAGAUGCAGCAACGCCGCGUGCGGGAAGACAGGCUUCGGGUUGUGAACCAAUUUCGCCUGUGAUGAGAAGUGAGUGACGGUAAUGGAUAAAGAAGCACCGGCUAACUACGUG
Molecule: ribosomal RNA, 468 nt
Filed under: uncultured bacterium
Lineage: Bacteria
Description: partial 16S ribosomal RNA
Rfam family: Bacterial small subunit ribosomal RNA
Source: RNAcentral